This 468-nucleotide ribosomal RNA is filed under the name uncultured bacterium. RNAcentral's name for it is "partial 16S ribosomal RNA". It matches the Rfam family "Bacterial small subunit ribosomal RNA", at positions 28 to 507 of the family's 1533-position model. The record is from RNAcentral.
GACGAACGCUGGCGGCGUGCUUAACACAUGCAAGUCGAACGGAAAGGCCCUGCUUUUGUGGGGUGCUCGAGUGGCGAACGGGUGAGUAACACGUGAGUAACCUGCCCUUGACUUUGGGAUAACUUCAGGAAACUGGGGCUAAUACCGGAUAGGAGCUCCUGCUGCAUGGUGGGGGUUGGAAAGUUUCGGCGGUUGGGGAUGGACUCGCGGCUUAUCAGCUUGCUGGUGGGGUAGUGGUUUACCAAGGCUUUGACGGGUAGCCGGCCUGAGAGGGUGACCGGCCACAUUGGGACUGAGAUACGGCCCAGACUCCUACGGGAGGCAGCAGUGGGGAAUAUUGCACAAUGGGCGGAAGCCUGAUGCAGCAACGCCGCGUGCGGGAUGACGGCCUUCGGGUUGUAAACCGCUUUCGCCUGUGACGAAGCGUGAGUGACGGUAAUGGGUAAAGAAGCACCGGCUAACUACGUG